RNAcentral lists this long non-coding RNA (694 nucleotides) under Homo sapiens (human). Its description in RNAcentral is "non-protein coding lnc-IQGAP2-2:1". The record is from RNAcentral. Lineage: Eukaryota; Metazoa; Chordata; Mammalia; Primates; Hominidae.
CUUCUAUUAUCAUAGGCAUGCAUAGCAGGUACCUAGGCCUGUGGUGACCCCGGCAGCAACUCCAAGUGACUUACCCACAUACCCCAAACCCUGCUGUGAUUCUGCUUCCCACAAAAGCAGCCUGCACAGGGCCCUUCUCAGUGCACAGAUGUCCAGCUCCAUGGGAGGGCCUCUGGCAGCCAGAAAGAGGAGGAAGGAGAGAAGGAAGGGGAAGUGGUCAUGCAUAUACGGGGACCUUACCAACUCCUGCAGGCCGUGCAGCCUCAGCAAAUCACACCAGGAGAAGGAGUCCUGCUUCCUCAGGACUAAAAAGAAGACCAAAGAGCAACUGUUCACAGCAGGCCAAGUUUACAAAACGGUGGUGGAGAAAAUGAAUAAUUUACGAGGAUGAAUGCAAGGCCAUGUGAAGUGAUCUCUAUACACACAGGAAGGUACCACAGGAAGCCAACAGUGAAUGUCUGGAGCCCAACACUGUGCCAGGCCCCACAGGGCACACUCUGGAGCUGGUAAAGGUGGAGCAGCACUGCCAGGAGUUGGGAGCUCAGUCUCUAGACUCACACAGACCUGAGCUCACACCUAAGUUCUCCACUUGUAAGCUGUGUGGCCCAGGACAAGUUCAUUAACCUCUCUGGGCCUCAAUUCCUCAUCUGUAAAACGAGGAUACUUAUUUGGGAUAUUCUUGUUUGAAAGGAUU